RNAcentral lists this ribosomal RNA (575 nucleotides) under Trichophyton rubrum. Its description in RNAcentral is "partial large subunit ribosomal RNA". It matches the Rfam family "Eukaryotic large subunit ribosomal RNA", at positions 62 to 648 of the family's 3401-position model. The record is from RNAcentral. Lineage: Eukaryota; Fungi; Ascomycota; Eurotiomycetes; Onygenales; Arthrodermataceae.
AAACCAACAGGGAUUGCCCCAGUAACGGCGAGUGAAGCGGCAAGAGCUCAAAUUUGAAAUCUGGCCUCCCCCGGGGGUCCGAGUUGUAAUUUGCAGAGGAUGCUUCGGGCGCGGCCCCCGUCUAAGUUCCUUGGAACAGGACGUCAGAGAGGGUGAGAAUCCCGUCUUGGGCGGGCGGCCCGCGCCCGUGUGAAGCUCCUUCGACGAGUCGAGUUGUUUGGGAAUGCAGCUCUAAGCGGGUGGUAAAUUUCAUCUAAAGCUAAAUACCGGCCGGAGACCGAUAGCGCACAAGUAGAGUGAUCGAAAGGUUAAAAGCACCUUGAAAAGGGAGUUAAACAGCACGUGAAAUUGUUGAAAGGGAAGCGCUUGCGGCCAGACUCGGGGGGCGGGGUUCAGCGGGCGCUCGUCGCCCGUGCACUGCCCGCUCCCCGGGCCAGCAUCAGCUUCGACGGCCGGUCAAAGGCCCCCGGAAUGUGUCGUCUCUAGGGACGUCUUAUAGCCGGGGGUGCAAUGCGGCCCGUCGAGACUGAGGAACGCGCUCCGGCUCGGACGCUGGCGUAAUGGCCGUAAGCGGC